AUCUCGCGGACAUCGAUCAUGAGAACGAUCAAGUGCCUUAAGAGCAUUCGGUGGAUGCCUUGGCGCUGAGAGGCGAUGAAGGACGUGAUACGCUGCGAUAAGCCGUGGGGAGCUGCGAAUGAGCUUUGAUCCGCGGAUUUCCGAAUGGGGAAACCCACCUUCGAUCUCUGUUAUUCCAAGGGCAGGCUUUUAGUCUGUGCUUGGGUCUGUCUUCGGACUAACAGAGAUCACAAGAAGGUAUUGAACUCUGAAUACAUAGGGGUUCAAAGCUAACCCAGGGAACUGAAACAUCUAAGUACCUGGAGGAAAGGACAUCAACGAGACUCCGUUAGUAGUGGCGAGCGAACGCGGACCAGGCCAGUGCCUGACUGUAAGUUACCGGAAGUGGUUGGGAAACCACGCAAUAAUGGGUGAUAGCCCCGUACGGAUCUGCGAACAGUUGGGACAUGAGUAAGGCGGGACACGUGAAAUCCUGUCUGAACGUGGGGGGACCACCCUCCAAGCCUAAGUACUCCUCAGCGACCGAUAGUGAACAAGUACCGUGAGGGAAAGGUGAAAAGCACCCCGACGAGGGGAGUGAAACAGCACCUGAAACCGAAUGCUUACAAACAGUGGGAGCUCAAGGUUCGUCCUGGGUGACCGCGUACCUUUUGUAUAAUGGGUCAGCGACUUAAUCUGACGAGCAAGCUUAAGCCGGUAGGUGUAGGCGCAGCGAAAGCGAGUCUGAACAGGGCGUUCAGUUCGUCGGAUUAGACCCGAAACCGGGUGAUCUAGCCAUGAGCAGGUUGAAGGUAAGGUAACACUUACUGGAGGACCGAACCGGUGCCUGUUGAAAAAGUCUCGGAUGACUUGUGGCUAGGGGUGAAAGGCCAAUCAAACUCGGAAAUAGCUGGUUCUCCGCGAAAGCUAUUUAGGUAGCGCCUCGUGUGAAUACUCCGGGGGGUAGAGCACUGGAUGGGUGAGGGGUGCUUACCGCAUUACCAAUCCUAACCAAACUCCGAAUACCCGGAAGUACUGCACGGGAGACACACGGCGGGUGCUAACGUCCGUCGUGGAGAGGGAAACAACCCUGACUUACAGCUAAGGCCCCCAAUUCGUGGCUAAGUGUGAAAGGAUGUGGGAAUCCCAAAACAACCAGGAGGUUGGCUUAGAAGCAGCCAUCCUUUAAAGAAAGCGUAACAGCUCACUGGUCUAAACAAGGGUUCCUGCGCCGAAAAUGUAUCGGGGCUCAAGCCACGAGCCGAAGCUUAAGGUUUGCACUUUGUGCAAGCGGUAGCGGAGCGUUCCAUAAGCCAACGAAGGGAGACCCGUGAGGGCUCCUGGAGGUAUUGGAAGUGCGAAUGCUGACAUGAGUAACGACAAACAGUGUGAAAGACACUGUCGCCGAAAGUCCAAGGGUUCCUGCGUAAAGUUAAUCUCCGCAGGGUUAGCCGGCCCCUAAGGCGAGGCCGAAAGGCGUAGUCGAUGGGAAUGAGGUGAAUAUUCCUCAGCCAGUUGGUAGUGACGGAUCGCGUACGCUGUCGGGUCUUAUUGGAUUGACCCGGCUUCCAAGCGGUUCCAGGAAAUAGCUCCAACAUCAGACCGUACCCGAAACCGACACAGGUGGACUGGUAGAGUAUACCAAGGCGCUUGAGAGAACUAUGCUGAAGGAACUCGGCAAUUUACCUCCGUAACUUCGGGAUAAGGAGGCCCAGUGCUUAGGCAACUAGGCAUUGGGGGCACAGACCAGGGGGUAGCGACUGUUUAACUAAAACACAGGGCUCUGCGAAAUCGUAAGAUGACGUAUAGGGUCUGACGCCUGCCCGGUGCCGGAAGGUUAAAAGGAGGUGUGCAAGCACCGAAUUGAAGCCCCGGUAAACGGCGGCCGUAACUAUAACGGUCCUAAGGUAGCGAAAUUCCUUGUCGGGUAAGUUCCGACCUGCACGAAUGGCGUAACGACUUCCCCGCUGUCUCCAGCAUAGACUCAGUGAAAUUGAAUUCCCCGUGAAGAUGCGGGGUUCCUGCGGUCAGACGGAAAGACCCCGUGCACCUUUACUGCAGCUUUGCGCUGGCAUUCGUGUCGGCAUGUGUAGGAUAGGUGGUAGACUUUGAAGCCGGGGCGCCAGCUCUGGUGGAGUCAUCCUUGAAAUACCACCCUUAUCGUCAUGGAUGUCUAAACCGCGACC
This 2165-nucleotide ribosomal RNA is filed under the name Starkeya sp. SL25. RNAcentral's name for it is "bacterial LSU rRNA". It matches the Rfam family "Bacterial large subunit ribosomal RNA", at positions 1 to 2234 of the family's 2925-position model. The record is from RNAcentral. Lineage: Bacteria; Pseudomonadati; Pseudomonadota; Alphaproteobacteria; Hyphomicrobiales; Xanthobacteraceae.